Molecule: ribosomal RNA, 494 nt
Filed under: uncultured bacterium
Lineage: Bacteria
Description: partial 16S ribosomal RNA
Rfam family: Bacterial small subunit ribosomal RNA
Source: RNAcentral
GACGAACGCUGGCGGCGUGCUUAACACAUGCAAGUCGAACGGAAAGGCCUGCUUUCCCUUGUGGAUUGCGGGUGCUCGAGUGGCGAACGGGUGAGUAACACGUGAGUGAUCUGCCCCCAACUUGGGUAUAAGCCUGGGAAACUGGGUCUAAUUCCCGAUAGGACUGCAGGGUGGUGCCUGUGGUGGAAAACGAUUUUCUAGUGGUUGGGGAUAAGCUCGCGGCCUAUCAGCUUGUUGGUGGGGUAAUGGCCUACCAAGGCGGCGACGGGUAGCCGGCCUGAGAGGGUGGACGGCCACAUUGGGACUGAGAUACGGCCCAGACUCCUACGGGAGGCAGCAGUGGGGAAUAUUGCACAAUGGGCGGAAGCCUGAUGCAGCGACGCCGCGUGGGGGAUGACGGCCUUCGGGUUGUAAACUCCUUUCGACCGCGAGGAAGCCACCUGGUUGCAAGGGUGGUGACGGUAGUGGUAGAAGAAGCACCGGCUAACUACGUA